GAUGAAGAACGUAGCGAAAUGCGAUAAGUAAUGUGAAUUGCAGAAUUCAGUGAAUCAUCGAAUCUUUGAACGCACAUUGCGCCCGCCAGUAUUCUGGCGGGCAUGCCUGUCCGAGCGUCAUUUCAACCCUCGAACCCCUCCGGGGGGUCGGCGUUGGGGAUCGGCCCUGCCUUGGCGGUGGCCGUCUCCGAAAUACAGUGGCGGUCUCGCCGCAGCCUCUCCUGCGCAGUAGUUUGCACACUCGCAUCGGGAGCGCGGCGCGUCCACAGCCGUUAAACACCCAACUUCUGAAAUGUUGACCUCGGAUCAGGUAGGAAUACCCGCUGAACUUAAGCAUAUCAAUAAGCGGAGGA
Molecule: unclassified non-coding RNA, 353 nt
Filed under: soil metagenome
Description: partial contains 5.8S ribosomal RNA, internal transcribed spacer 2, and large subunit ribosomal RNA
Rfam family: 5.8S ribosomal RNA (bases 1-120)
Source: RNAcentral